Molecule: long non-coding RNA, 1203 nt
Filed under: Capra hircus (goat)
Lineage: Eukaryota; Metazoa; Chordata; Mammalia; Artiodactyla; Bovidae
Description: lncRNA (ENSCHIG00010004595.1)
Source: RNAcentral
GAACAGAAAGAGAACCCCUUUGCCUUUGUCCUAGCGAUGCUGGGUUCAGGGCUGUGUCUGCAGGGCCGCAACCAAACUCCUUGAAUAACAAUUUCUACUCUGGGAGGCUUGGAGAAGAGAGCUGGACUACAAAAAUUCCCUGUUGCAUUCAGAAACCAAAGAACAGUGAAGCAGAUGGAGAGAGAAGACCUAGUGACCGAGGUGGAGGCCAGGGAGGCAGAGAGAGAGGAAGAAGAAAAUAUUCGGAUCCUAUUUACUUGCUCAGAUUGACCAAGAAUGGACAUCGUGAAUCACCUCCAACUUGAUCUUGUGUGUAACUGACUGCACUGCGAUGCUAUUUUAAACUAACAGUUUCAUAAUUACGUGCAACUAGAUUGUCCUAAUUACUUGCUUUAAUGUAUUCAAUAAAAUUCGAAAGUAGUUACAGAAUAUCAGAGCAAAAGAGAGAGACAGGGAGAGAAAGGAAGAAAGAAGUUCAGAUUAAAAUGCCUUCCGCGUCGCCCAAAGGAUGAAAACACAUGAAAAAAGAAUUCAAACUUUUUUCUUUUGUAAAACUCAAGAUGAUCACGGAAUAAUCAACCCAUUAUUAGCUCAACAACUGUUUGAAAAUAUAGAAACCAUCAAUUGGUCUGAAUUGUUUUUACUCGAUGCACUGCCGUGGAAGAAACACUUUUUAAAAAAUCUUCGUGAAAUUUUUCUAAAUAAAGGCUGUAGGAAUGCUACUCACUUCACAAUAAGAAAAAAAAAUGUAAUGGUAAGAGAAGAAGAUAGCAACUUCGAAUGUUUAAACUGCGAUGCAGAGGUUCGGUUCCAAGUUGAUUUGUACAAAAUCAACAUUUUCAAGGAAAUUGAAAUCCUUUAAAAAAGAAAAGUAAUUGGCGCCUCAUUGCUUACUAUAUAGGACACUUAGAACAAUAAUAACCCUACUGGCGACAAAUAUGCAAUAUUGAUAACAGGAACAGUUAGAAGAGUUAAAAACUUAAAAACUGAGUACAAACUUCUCAGCUAGCGGCGCUGCACUGGGACCGUGGAUCCACCAACAUAAAGACCUCUGCUAAGUCGAAAAUGCUCCGUAGCGAGACCAGUUUGAUUUUUUUCUUUCUCGGUCAUCUUCCCGCCUCGGAUUAACCGAAUUCGAACAACUACCUCUUGUUAAUAAAAUUCUGGAGGUCAACUUUUUCUUCUCUUUUGCAUCUUCUUUUU